This 222-nucleotide ribosomal RNA is filed under the name Listeria monocytogenes. RNAcentral describes it as "partial 23S ribosomal RNA". It matches the Rfam family "Bacterial large subunit ribosomal RNA", at positions 2223 to 2444 of the family's 2925-position model. Lineage: Bacteria; Bacillati; Bacillota; Bacilli; Caryophanales; Listeriaceae. The record is from RNAcentral.
UAACCCGCCACGCUUAGCGCGUGGGGAGACAGUGUCAGGUGGGCAGUUUGACUGGGGCGGUCGCCUCCUAAAGAGUAACGGAGGCGCCCAAAGGUUCCCUCAGAAUGGAUGGAAAUCAUUCGCAGAGGGUAAAGGGACAAGGGAGCUUGACUGCGAGACUGACAAGUCGAGCCGGGACGAAAGUCGGGCUUAGUGAUCCGGUGGUUCCGCAUGGAAGGGCCA